This 275-nucleotide ribosomal RNA is filed under the name uncultured Aminicenantes bacterium. RNAcentral's name for it is "partial 16S ribosomal RNA". It matches the Rfam family "Bacterial small subunit ribosomal RNA", at positions 1110 to 1382 of the family's 1533-position model. Lineage: Bacteria; Candidatus Aminicenantota. The record is from RNAcentral.
AUUACGUUGUCAGCGAGUCAUGUCGGAUACUCUAAUGGGACUGCCGGUGACGGGCCGGAGGAAGGUGGGAUGACGUCAAGUCAGCAUGGCCUUUAUGUCCAGGGCCACACACGUGCUACAAUGGACGGUACAGAGGGACGCAAGACCGCAAGGUGGAGCAAAUCCUCAAAACCGUUCUCAGUUCGGAUUGUAGGCUGCAAUUCGCCUACAUGAAGCUGGAAUUGCUAGUAAUCGCAGAUCAGCUACGCUGCGGUGAAUACGUUCCUCCGGGCCUU